UGUAUUUAUUAGAUUAAAAACCAAUGCCCUUCGGGGCUUCUUGGUGAUUCAUAAUAACUUCUCGAAUCGCAUGGCCUUGCGCCGGCGAUGGUUCAUUCAAAUUUCUGCCCUAUCAACUUUCGAUGGCAGGGUCUUGGCCUGCCAUGGUUACAACGGGUAACGGAGGGUUAGGGCUCGACCCCGGAGAAGGAGCCUGAGAAACGGCUACUACAUCCAAGGAAGGCAGCAGGCGCGCAAAUUACCCAAUCCCGACUCGGGGAGGUAGUGACAAUAAAUACUGAUACAGGGCUCUUUUGGGUCUUGUAAUUGGAAUGAGUACAAUUUAAAUCCCUUAACGAGGAACAAUUGGAGGGCAAGUCUGGUGCCAGCAGCCGCGGUAAUUCCAGCUCCAAUAGCGUAUAUUAAAGUUGUUGCAGUUAAAAAGCUCGUAGUUGAACCUUGGGCCUGGCUGGCCGGUCCGCCUCACCGCGUGCACUGGUUCGGCCGGGCCUUUCCCUCUGGGGAACCGCAUGCCCUUCACUGGGUGUGUCGGGGAACCAGG
This 541-nucleotide ribosomal RNA is filed under the name uncultured eukaryote. Its description in RNAcentral is "SSU rRNA". It matches the Rfam family "Eukaryotic small subunit ribosomal RNA", at positions 202 to 746 of the family's 1831-position model. The record is from RNAcentral.